GACGAACGCUGGCGGCAUGCUUAACACAUGCAAGUCGAACGGGAAGUCCUCUUUCGGGGGGUACUCGGGUGGCGAACGGGUGAGUACCACGUGUGUGACCUGCAAUUGCCUCUGGAAUAACUUCCGGAAACUGGGGCUAAUACCGGACAGGAGCUCAUGCUGCCUGGUGGGGGUUGGCAAGUUUCGGAGGUUGGGGAUGGAAUCGCGGCUUAUCAGCUUGUUGGUGGGGUAGUGGCUUACCAAGGAUUUGGCGGGUCGCCGGCCGGAGAGGGUGACCGGCCACAGUGGGACUGAGAUAGAGCCCAGACUCCUACGGGAGGGAGCAGGGGGGGAUAUUGCACAAUGGGUGGGAGCCAGAUGCAGCGACGCCUGGUGCGUGAUGACGGCCUUCGGGUUGGAAGCCGCUUUCUCUCAUGACGGAGCUUAGAGUGACGGUAGCGGGUAAAGAAGCACCGGCUAACUACGUG
Molecule: ribosomal RNA, 467 nt
Filed under: uncultured bacterium
Lineage: Bacteria
Description: partial 16S ribosomal RNA
Rfam family: Bacterial small subunit ribosomal RNA
Source: RNAcentral